This 520-nucleotide ribosomal RNA is filed under the name uncultured bacterium. RNAcentral's name for it is "bacterial SSU rRNA". It matches the Rfam family "Bacterial small subunit ribosomal RNA", at positions 777 to 1297 of the family's 1533-position model. The record is from RNAcentral.
AAUAGAUACCCUGGUAGUCCACGCCGUAAACGAUGUCGACUUGGAGGUUGUGCCCUUGAGGCGUGGCUUCCGGAGCUAACGCGUUAAGUCGACCGCCUGGGGAGUACGGCCGCAAGGUUAAAACUCAAAUGAAUUGACGGGGGCCCGCACAAGCGGUGGAGCAUGUGGUUUAAUUCGAUGCAACGCGAAGAACCUUACCUGGUCUUGACAUCCACAGAACUUUCCAGAGAUGGAUUGGUGCCUUCGGGAACUGUGAGACAGGUGCUGCAUGGCUGUCGUCAGCUCGUGUUGUGAAAUGUUGGGUUAAGUCCCGCAACGAGCGCAACCCUUAUCCUUUGUUGCCAGCGGUCCGGCCGGGAACUCAAAGGAGACUGCCAGUGAUAAACUGGAGGAAGGUGGGGAUGACGUCAAGUCAUCAUGGCCCUUACGACCAGGGCUACACACGUGCUACAAUGGCGCAUACAAAGAGAAGCGAACUCGCGAGAGCAAGCGGACCUCAUAAAGUGCGUCGUAGUCCGGA